This 1164-nucleotide long non-coding RNA is filed under the name Astyanax mexicanus (Mexican tetra). RNAcentral describes it as "lncRNA (ENSAMXG00005024181.1)". Lineage: Eukaryota; Metazoa; Chordata; Actinopteri; Characiformes; Acestrorhamphidae. The record is from RNAcentral.
AACUUUAAGAAAUUAAGAAUUAAUAUGCUUUAAUAUAGACUGAGCCUUCCGCCAAAAAGUAGUUCCACCACAACUGUAACAGAACUGAAACUUAACUACAAAACGGUGUAUGGUUCAGGCAGACUAACACUACGAAAGUUAGCUUGAAAGCAAAAUUGGGAAUAAACGAAGAUGGUAAUGUUAGGACCGUGAAAUAACGCUAAUACUCUUCUCUCCUGCUUUGUGGAGUCGUCUUCAGGUGAACGCUGCGCAUUUUUGAGCAUUUCUUCUUGUUUUGCUGGGUGGUGUUGGUUUUAGCUAGCUGGCUGGACUGUGGUUAGGUUAGCGUAGCUUGCUUUAGCUCAGCAUUAACGUAGCUUAGCCUAGCCUGGCUGGUUAGCGUUUUGGCUCUCAGACCGCAUUAGCAGAGCGAUUUUCUUUCCCCUUUUUCCACAAAAGACAGCCAGCGCUGCGUGGGCACGAAAGUUUUGAGUCUCUGAUAAAUCACAGUAUUGACAUACAUAUUAUUUGUAACUUAAUAUGUAAUAUGUAUUGAAUGUAAACUUUAUUUGAAGUCUAAAAGCUCUGCAUCUUUUUUGUUAUUUCAUCCAUUUCUCAUUUUCUGCAAAUAAAUGCUCUAAAUGACAAUAUUUUUAUUUGGAAUUUGAGAGAAAUGUUGUCCGAAGUUUAUAGAAUAAAACAACAAUGUUCAGUUUACUCAAACAUAAACCUAUAAAUAGAAAAAUCAUAGAAACUGAAUCAGAAACUGAAGUGAUCUCUUUUUUUGUUUGUUUGUUUUCCAGAGCUGUAUGAUCUACAGGUUUACCUAAGGUAGCCCAGGGGGGAAUCACUAUACAUUGAUGCAAUUGAAUGGAGACAAGAUAAUGUCAAUACAAGCCAAAGUUGAAAUCCAGGUACCAAUGACUCAGCAGACCAAGGACAAAUCCCAGAAAAUGAAUAGCCUCGGUUUCAUCGUUUGAUUGAAGCUUAUCUCAGUUACAAGGUAAGCAAGAAUCAGACUUUCACUCGAGACCAGGUGAGUCCAAUCCUUCCUUUAUUCCUGUUCCUUUUCUCCUGCGGAACACGGUGUAAAAUGAAACAGCAGAAGCGGCUCCAUGCGGUGUUCAGUGCUCUCCUGUGUUAAUCAGUUUGGCUGGCCCUUACCGUGCCCAGCAUGCUCUGCAG